AGUGAGUUAGUUUAAGUUUAAAACGCUAGGUUGUGGUUCUAGAGAUAAAGUUUUUAUUCACUA
RNAcentral lists this transfer RNA (63 nucleotides) under Eoacmaea sp. AORI_YK#3426. Its description in RNAcentral is "tRNA-His". It matches the Rfam family "tRNA". From Rfam's summary of the family: Transfer RNA (tRNA) molecules are approximately 80 nucleotides in length. The record is from RNAcentral. Lineage: Eukaryota; Metazoa; Mollusca; Gastropoda; Eoacmaeidae.